RNAcentral lists this ribosomal RNA (252 nucleotides) under uncultured bacterium. Its description in RNAcentral is "partial 16S ribosomal RNA". It matches the Rfam family "Bacterial small subunit ribosomal RNA", at positions 524 to 776 of the family's 1533-position model. The record is from RNAcentral.
UACGUAGGUCCCGGGCGUUGUCCGGAUUUAUUGGGCGUAAAGCGAGCGCAGGUGGUUUAUUAAGUCUGGUGUAAAAGGCAGUGGCUCAACCAUUGUAUGCAUUGGAAACUGGUAGACUUGAGUGCAGAAGAGGAGAGUGGAACUCCAUGUGUAGCGGUGAAAUGCGUAGGUAUAUGGAAGAACACCAGUGGCGAAAGCGGCUCUCUGGUCUGUAACUGACGCUGAGGUUCGAAAGCGUGGGUAGCAAACAGG